Non-coding RNA from Myotis brandtii (Brandt's bat), 76 nucleotides. NCBI's taxonomy places the organism in Eukaryota, Metazoa, Chordata, Mammalia, Chiroptera, Vespertilionidae. The record is from Rfam.
AAGUCACCCCUAUGGAGCAGGACUUGUUUCAGUGGGGCAUUGGUACUCACUGAAUCUGCCUCUUGAAUGUGUCUUU